Molecule: long non-coding RNA, 418 nt
Filed under: Vulpes vulpes (red fox)
Lineage: Eukaryota; Metazoa; Chordata; Mammalia; Carnivora; Canidae
Description: lncRNA (ENSVVUG00000014096.1)
Source: RNAcentral
AAAAAUGAUAGCUCAUGUGUAACUGUGUGUCAGGUGUCAUUCUGAGCACUUGACACACAUGGCCUUAUUCAGUCCUCACGUUCGUCUUUAUUAUUCACAUUCUCCAGAUGAGGAAACAGAAUUAGAGAAAGUUGAAUAACUGGCCAAGGUUAAAUGCUAUUAACAUUGGCAAAUUGGGUAGAGGAGUUGCUGAAGACGUGGGAGGAAUCGCAGGUGUCUCCAGGUGUUCAAGGCUGGAGGGCAGGGAACACAAUUUGGAUGGUUUUGUGGAAGCCUGAAGGGUGAGCUCCUAAGAGGAAGUUACAACAUCAGCAAGUGGCACCCUCUUCAACAGUUUGCCAGGGAGGAGAGAAAAGUCAAAGUCUCUACAAAUUCAGCAUUUAGCAAAGUGUCAGCAUAGAGUUCUUACCUAUUGAAG